This 414-nucleotide ribosomal RNA is filed under the name Paracoccus sp. oral taxon H67. RNAcentral describes it as "bacterial SSU rRNA". It matches the Rfam family "Bacterial small subunit ribosomal RNA", at positions 30 to 491 of the family's 1533-position model. Lineage: Bacteria; Pseudomonadati; Pseudomonadota; Alphaproteobacteria; Rhodobacterales; Paracoccaceae. The record is from RNAcentral.
CGAACGCUGGCGGCAGGCUUAACACAUGCAAGUCGAGCGAGAUCUUCGGAUCUAGCGGCGGACGGGUGAGUAACGCGUGGGAACGUGCCCUUUGCUACGGAAUAGUCCCGGGAAACUGGGUUUAAUACCGUAUACGCCCUUCGGGGGAAAGAUUUAUCGGCAAAGGAUCGGCCCGCGUUGGAUUAGGUAGUUGGUGGGGUAAUGGCCUACCAAGCCGACGAUCCAUAGCUGGUUUGAGAGGAUGAUCAGCCACACUGGGACUGAGACACGGCCCAGACUCCUACGGGAGGCAGCAGUGGGGAAUCUUAGACAAUGGGGGCAACCCUGAUCUAGCCAUGCCGCGUGAGUGAUGAAGGCCUUAGGGUUGUAAAGCUCUUUCAGCUGGGAAGAUAAUGACGUACCAGCAGAAGAGCC